GGGGAUGUGGCUCAAGUGGUAGAGUGCUCGCCUGGCAUGCGGGGCGCUGGGUUCAAUCCUCAGCACCACA
Molecule: transfer RNA, 70 nt
Filed under: Marmota monax (woodchuck)
Lineage: Eukaryota; Metazoa; Chordata; Mammalia; Rodentia; Sciuridae
Description: tRNA.Ala
Source: RNAcentral